Molecule: ribosomal RNA, 909 nt
Filed under: uncultured bacterium
Lineage: Bacteria
Description: bacterial SSU rRNA
Rfam family: Bacterial small subunit ribosomal RNA
Source: RNAcentral
ACGCUGGCGGCGUGCUUAACACAUGCAAGUCGAACGAUGAAGCCUAGCUUGCUAGGUGGAUUAGUGGCGAACGGGUGAGUAAUACGUGAGUAACCUACCUUUAACUCUGGGAUAAGCCUGGGAAACUGGGUCUAAUACCGGAUACGACCAAUCUCCGCAUGGGGUGUUGGUGGAAAGCGUUAUGUAGUGGUUAUAGAUGGGCUCACGGCCUAUCAGCUUGUUGGUGAGGUAACGGCUCACCAAGGCGACGACGGGUAGCCGGCCUGAGAGGGUGACCGGCCACACUGGGACUGAGACACGGCCCAGACUCCUACGGGAGGCAGCAGUGGGGAAUAUUGCACAAUGGGCGCAAGCCUGAUGCAGCGACGCCGCGUGAGGGAUGACGGCCUUCGGGUUGUAAACCUCUGUUAGCAGGGAAGAAGAGAAAUUGACGGUACCUGCAGAGAAAGCGUCGGCUAACUACGUGCCAGCAGCCGCGGUAAUACGUAGGGCGCGAGCGUUGUCCGGAAUUAUUGGGCGUAAAGAGCUUGUAGGCGGUUUGUCGCGUCUGCUGUGAAAGGCCGGGGCUUAACCCCGUGUAUUGCAGUGGGUACGGGCAGACUAGAGUGCAGUAGGGGAGACUGGAAUUCCUGGUGUAGCGGUGGAAUGCGCAGAUAUCAGGAGGAACACCGAUGGCGAAGGCAGGUCUCUGGGCUGUAACUGACGCUGAGAAGCGAAAGCAUGGGGAGCGAACAGGAUUAGAUACCCUGGUAGUCCAUGCCGUAAACAUUGGGCACUAGGUGUGGGGGACAUUCCACGUUUUCCGCGCCGUAGCUAACGCAUUAAGUGCCCCGCCUGGGGAGUACGGCCGCAAGGCUAAAACUCAAAGAAAUUGACGGGGGCCCGCACAAGCGGCGGAGCAUGCGGAUU